GAUGAACGCUGGCGGCGUGCCUAAUACAUGCAAGUCGAGCGAACAGACGAGGAGUUUGCUCCUCUGACGUUAGCGGCGGACGGGUGAGUAACACGUGGAUAACCUACCUAUAAGACUGGGAUAACUUCGGGAAACCGGAGCUAAUACCGGAUAACAUGUUGAACCGCAUGGUUCAACAGUGAAAGACGGUCUUGCUGUCACUUAUAGAUGGAUCCGCGCCGCAUUAGCUAGUUGGUAAGGUAACGGCUUACCAAGGCAACGAUGCGUAGCCGACCUGAGAGGGUGAUCGGCCACACUGGAACUGAGACACGGUCCAGACUCCUACGGGAGGCAGCAGUAGGGAAUCUUCCGCAAUGGGCGAAAGCCUGACGGAGCAACGCCGCGUGAGUGAAGAAGGUCUUCGGAUCGUAAAACUCUGUUAUUAGGGAAGAACAAAUGUGUAAGUAACUAUGCACGUCUUGACGGUACCUAAUCAGAAAGCCACGGCUAACUACGUG
This 497-nucleotide ribosomal RNA is filed under the name uncultured bacterium. RNAcentral describes it as "partial 16S ribosomal RNA". It matches the Rfam family "Bacterial small subunit ribosomal RNA", at positions 28 to 507 of the family's 1533-position model. The record is from RNAcentral.